GUCCCAGGAGCCCUGCAAAGCUGGCAUUAUUCUUCUCAUUCCAUAAAGAAGGAAACUGAGGCUAGGCAGAUUACGGAACUUGCCUCAAGUCCCACUGCUUGGAAGUGGCAAAGCCAGGAUUCCAGUCUAGCUCCAAGAAAAGCCGCUGACAAGAUUAAGACAACACUAGAGAGGCAACUGAGAUAUAGAAGAGACAUCACAGGAAGCAGGAAACCACUCUGUCUUGAGCCGCCUACUAUGUGCUUUAUGACCUAUUUGGUUCACAAAAACCCUGCGAGCUGGGCAGUUGAAGUGAUUUGCCCAGAGUGACACAUCUAGUCAGAGACAAAAGUGAGAUUCAACCCCAGGUCUGCCUACAUGGGGAAGACAGUUUGGCCUCAAGGCUGGUGUUUUGAGCAUGUGGGAGCCAACUCUGAUUCAAAGAAGGAGGUGACAUUGACCGCACACGCUUCACGUCGAGAUCAGCUG
Molecule: long non-coding RNA, 468 nt
Organism: Equus quagga
Lineage: Eukaryota; Metazoa; Chordata; Mammalia; Perissodactyla; Equidae
Exons: 3
Source: RefSeq, a predicted model, not a curated record